AGGUUUAUUCUUCAGUCCAAGGAAGCAAUUCACAAUCAGCUGUUAGAGAAGCAGAAAAUAGCAGAAGAAAAAAUUAAAGAACUAGAACAGAAAAAGUCUUACCUGGAGCGAAGCGUUAAGGAAGCUGAGGACAACAUCCGGGAGAUGCUGAUGGCACGAAGGGCCCAGUAGGGAGCCUCUCUAGGAAGCUCUUCCUCCUGCCCCUCCCAUUCCUGGUGGGGGCAGAGGAGUCUCUGCAGGGAAACAGCUUCUCCUCUGCCCCAAUGGAUGCUUUAUUUGGAUGGCCUGGCAACAUCACAUUUUCUGCAUCACCCUGAGCCUCAUUUGCUUCCCAGCCCUGGAGUUUUUACCCGGCUUUGCCUGCCACCUCUGCCCAGGACACUCUUCCCUCUCGGGGUGUGUGAUGAACUCCCAGGAGAGGGAAGAUGGGAGCCAGGGCAAGAUAGGAAGCUCUGCCUGAGCUUUCCACUAGGCACGCCAGCCAGACCAGUAAAAAGCGUCUGUCCCACUCUGCUAAGCCUGGUUUUCUUGAGCAGAGGGAUGGAACAGAGGGUGAGAGAGGCAGUGGCUGUCUCCACCUCAGCUCCUGCUCCCUCUGCAUCAGAGCCCUUCCUUUCUUGGGGGAUGGGCCUUGCCCUCUUCUCUUUUCCCUUCCUGUACCUUUGACUAACCCUCAGCUUCCAGGCCUGCAUGUAGUAGACAGAAGAGGAAGAAAGAACAGACGUUCACAGCUGAAUCUCAGUGAACAGAAUAACAGUCCCUGGAUGGCAGUCUGCCUAAAGAUUCCUUUCCCUGCCU
RNAcentral lists this small RNA (798 nucleotides) under Pongo abelii (Sumatran orangutan). RNAcentral describes it as "retained intron". Lineage: Eukaryota; Metazoa; Chordata; Mammalia; Primates; Hominidae. The record is from RNAcentral.